This is a long non-coding RNA of Lagopus muta (rock ptarmigan), 1331 nucleotides long. RefSeq lists it as uncharacterized. The transcript is spliced from 5 exons. The record is from RefSeq and is a predicted model, not a curated record. NCBI's taxonomy places the organism in Eukaryota, Metazoa, Chordata, Aves, Galliformes, Phasianidae.
CAAUCUGCGGGUACAGUGAGGUAACCUAAUGUGGGUAGGCCAGCCCCACAGGAAGCUGUUCACUGAAUGAGCAGAGCUGGGAAAUACUUCCAUGUGGACGUAUCUGACAAGUGCAGAGAUCAGUGAUGCCCUUUUCAAGUUCUGAAGAAGUCUACUGCAAGCAGCAAGCAGAUAGUACUCUUGGCUACUUUGGGCUACAGAAUAACUUUGAUUUUUCCAGCCUCUACUGCCUUCGUUUCUGAGCUGUGAUUUCACCAGUUGUCUUCAAUGCCUGGGUCUUUUAGAUUACUUCAGCAAUGAUGGGAAACUGAAAAGUUCUAGAGAGCUGUGAGAUGGUGAAAACUUGUUCACAGAAAGCGAAUAGGUAUCCAAGGGACAACAUGGACUUGCAAGAGAUACAAAACAAAACAAGAACACAGAUGGAAUGCAUCAACUGUGCUCCUACUCAGCCAUGCCAAGGCUAGAGGAGAGGAAAGGAAGAGAGAGCCAAAUGAAAAAUCCUGAAUGACAACAUCUCCAAGUAUCACAGCAGUACCUUCUAAAGCUGGAAGAUAAAGCUGAUGAGGUGGUUACCAUGGCUACAGAAGCGGCAUAUUUGAAUGAAAAUUGAUUUUAAGCUUUUAAAUGCUAAUUGCAUCUGUGAAAAGGUGACAUUUGAAAUAUCUUUUUCUUCUCCCCCUCCCCUCCCCUGCUUUGCAUUGUACAACGAGUGAAAGAAGAGGGUGACAAAGGUGACAACACAGAGUUAAGUUGAAACACUGAUGCAGUCUUCAACACUAAAGUAUGUCACACCAUUUGCUUGUGUAGUAAUAAAAGUAAUAAGCGAACACAUAUAUGGAUCACAGUAUCUGAGGAGCAAAAACUGUAUCUAUAACCCAAGUAAUACAUUUUUCAUCAUAUUGUGAAAAAUUAAACAGCCUUAUUUAAAUUAAUCAUCAGACCAAUUUUUUUCUGGUAGCUCAUAAUAAAGAGGCUAUUAAAACUUAGCAUUCAGAAACUAUUAUAAAUUCUCAGUGACGAGGAAAUUUCGCAAAUGCCUGAAAUUAGAAGCAUUUCUUAUUUCAUUUCAUACAUCAGGAAGUAAACUUGAACUUCUACACAGCGGUAGACUCAGGCCGGAGGGCAAAGGUGCUGUACAGACCAGUGUCACUGUGCAACUACUGCUAAUUGCUGUCACACCACCGUCUGGCCAUGCUUAGGCUUUAGUUGUAGAAGACAUAGAGGGUGUAAUUUACCUAGCUGUAAGCAUAGGUUUAAUAUGAUCUCAAAGCUUUUUAACUUGCAGUGGGUUGUUACAUCCCACUUGUUAGCGCUUGCUUUUUGAAACACUC